UGAAGGAGACAGAUACAUAACUUGAUAAUAAAUUAAAAACAAGUCAAUGAACCUUAUCACAUGAACAUACUAUAUAAUGCUACAUGCUAAUUCAAGACUGACAAGGCCACAAUCAACCUGAAGCCUUCAAAAAUUAAUGGAAGAACCCAGUUAUCAGAUCCUCUCCAUGACUCAUCUCUUCUCUAAGAUGAAUAAAAGCUCACUAGAAGAGAUGAUUUUUGGAGUGGCAUUUGUGACAGCCUUUGCUCUUCUGCAACUGCCCUACGAAAAAAUAGAUGGAUAUCCGAGAAUUGCUAGGCACUGUCGCCGUCUUGCUAUUAUUUCCAUAGCUGUAGCAGUAGGAAUACUGAUUUGGUUAGUAUUAGCAUCAAAUUUGAGGAUUGUAUCAUCGAUUUCAUUUCCUCUCUGUAGAUAUUAAAUUUAUGUCUUUUAUUGUUCUAGCCGUGAUAUGAUUGGUGACUGCGCAACUAAAGGGCUUACAUAUUAUGGUAAUACAUGAUUUGUUUUGCUUGAA
Long non-coding RNA from Cornus florida, 514 nucleotides. RefSeq lists it as uncharacterized. Lineage: Eukaryota; Viridiplantae; Streptophyta; Magnoliopsida; Cornales; Cornaceae. The transcript is spliced from 2 exons. The record is from RefSeq and is a predicted model, not a curated record.